AGAGUUUGAUCCCGGCUCAGAACGAACGCUGGCGGCGUGCUUUACACAUGCAAGUCGAGCGAGAAAGGGUUUUCGAACCUGAGUAAAGCGGCGAACGGGUGAGUAACACGUAGGUAACCUGUCCGGUACUUUGGGAUAACAGCGCGAAAGCGUUGCUAAUACCAGGUAAGUCUGAUUAGCACAAGUUAAUUAGAGAAAGUGGGUUCCGAUAAAGCGGACCACGGUACCGGAGGGGCCUGCGGCCUAUCAGCUUGAUGGUGAGGUAAUGGCUCACCAUGGCAAGGACGGGUAGCCGGUCUGAGAGGAUGAACGGCCACACUGGGACUGAGAUACGGCCCAGACUCCUACGGGAGGCAGCAGUGGGGAAUAUUGCGCAAUGGGGGAAACCCUGACGCAGCGACGCCGUGUGAGUGAGGAAGGUUUUCGAACUGUAAAGCUCUGUCAGGCAGGAAGAAGUCUCUGUAUGAAGAUAUAGAGGUGACGGUACUGCCAGAGGAAGCACCGGCUAACUCCGUGCCAGCAGCCGCGGUAAUACGGAGGGUGCGAGCGUUGUUCGGAUUUACUGGGCGUAAAGGGCAAGUAGGCGGCUAUAUAAGAUCAGUGUAGAAGACCGGGGCUCAACCCCGGGAAUGCGUUGGUGACUGUAUAGCUUGAGUGAUGCAGGGGUUUGCGGAAUUCCCGGUGUAGAGGUGAAAUUCGUAGAUAUCGGGAGGAACACCAGUGGCGAAGGCGGCAAACUGGGCAUCAACUGACGCUGAGGUGCGAAAGCGUGGGUAGCAAACAGGAUUAGAUACCCUGGUAGUCCACGCCGUAAACGAUGGAUACUAGAUGUAUGUCUAAAUAAGGAUGUGUAUCGUAGCAAACGCAAUAAGUAUCCCGCCUGGGGAGUACGAUCGCAAGAUUAAAACUCAAAGGAAUUGACGGGGGCCCGCACAAGCGGUGGAGCAUGUGGUUUAAUUCGAGGCAACGCGAAGAACCUUACCUGGGUUUGACAUAUAUUGGCCGUAGCAGAUAUGAGAGUAUCUGCAAGUUUACCGUAAGGUAAACGCUGAUAAACAGGUGCUGCAUGGCUGUCGUCAGCUCGUGUUGUGAGAUGUUGGGUUAAGUCCCGCAACGAGCGCAACCCCUGUCGUCAGUUGCUAACAGGUUAAGCUGAGCACUCUGGCGAGACCGCCGGUGAAAAUCGGAGGAAGGUGGGGAUGACGUCAAGUCCUCAUGGCCUUAAUGCCCAGGGCUACACACGUGCUACAAUGGCUGUUACAGAGGGCAGCGAACCAGCGAUGGUAAGCGAAUCCCAAAAAGGCAGUCCAAGUUCGGAUUGGAGUCUGCAACUCGACUCCAUGAAGGUGGAAUCGCUAGUAAUCGUGGAUCAGCAUGCCACGGUGAAUACGUUCCCGGGCCUUGUACACACCGCCCGUCUCACCAUGGAAGCUGGCUGGACCGGAAGUUUUGAAUCUAACCAUUUAUGGAGGAUAGGAACGAUGGUCUGGUUAGUGACUGGGGUGAAGUCGAAACAAGGUA
Molecule: ribosomal RNA, 1521 nt
Filed under: metagenome
Description: bacterial SSU rRNA
Rfam family: Bacterial small subunit ribosomal RNA
Source: RNAcentral